GGUGAACGCUGGCGGCGUGCCUAAUACAUGCAAGUCGAGCGAACAGACGAGGAGCUUGCUCCUCUGACGUUAGCGGCGGACGGGUGAGUAACACGUGGAUAACCUACCUACAAGACUGGGAUAACUUCGGGAAACCGGAGCUAAUACCGGAUAAUAUAUUGAACCGCAUGGUUCAAUAGUGAAAGACGGUUUUGCUGUCACUUAUAGAUGGAUCCGCGCCGCAUUAGCUAGUUGGUAAGGUAACGGCUUACCAAGGCAACGAUGCGUAGCCGACCUGAGAGGGUGAUCGGCCACACUGGAACUGAGACACGGUCCAGACUCCUACGGGAGGCAGCAGUAGGGAAUCUUCCGCAAUGGGCGAAAGCCUGACGGAGCAACGCCGCGUGAGUGAUGAAGGUCUUCGGAUCGUAAAACUCUGUUAUUAGGGAAGAACAAAUGUGUAAGUAACUAUGCACGUCUUGACGGUACCUAAUCAGAAAGCCACGGCUAACUACGUG
This 497-nucleotide ribosomal RNA is filed under the name uncultured bacterium. Its description in RNAcentral is "partial 16S ribosomal RNA". It matches the Rfam family "Bacterial small subunit ribosomal RNA", at positions 28 to 507 of the family's 1533-position model. The record is from RNAcentral.